GAUGAAGAACGCAGCGAAAUGCGAUACGUAAUGUGAAUUGCAGAUUUCAGUGAAUCAUCGAAUCUUUGAACGCAUAUUGCGCCCGCUAGUAUUCUGGCGGGCAUGCCUGUUCGAGCGUCAUUUCAACCAUCAAGCCCUAGGCUUGCGUUGGAGCCCUGCGGCUGCCGCAGGCUCCCAAAUCCAGUGGCGGGCUCGUCGUCGUACCGAGUGCAGUAAACAUCCUCGCUCAGGGAACGUGACGGGUUCUUGCCGUGAAACCCCCCACAUAUCAAGGUUGACCUCGGAUCAGGUAGGAAUACCCGCUGAACUUAAGCAUAUCAAUAAGCGGAGGA
RNAcentral lists this unclassified non-coding RNA (332 nucleotides) under soil metagenome. RNAcentral's name for it is "partial contains 5.8S ribosomal RNA, internal transcribed spacer 2, and large subunit ribosomal RNA". The stretch from base 1 to 120 matches the Rfam family "5.8S ribosomal RNA", at positions 35 to 154 of the family's 154-position model. The record is from RNAcentral.